Molecule: long non-coding RNA, 415 nt
Filed under: Bemisia tabaci
Lineage: Eukaryota; Metazoa; Arthropoda; Insecta; Hemiptera; Aleyrodidae
Description: lncRNA ENSASIAIIG001590
Source: RNAcentral
GUUUCAGCAGUGAAACGUAACACGAAUACAAAUUAUUCAUUAUGUUACUAGGUAUUGGUGAACGCCCCUGAAGUCCCUAUACUAACAUAACCUCAAAGAAGUCUUGCUGAUGGGAGUGGCAUGCGUAAAAAGGCAUGUGGUGUCACAAUGACUUGAUCCUAACGGUAAAACUGAUAUUCGACCAUCUUAAAGAUAAAUUAUGAGAGAAAUCCUAUUUUUGACUCUGCGCCUUCGAAUCUAACCCCGUCACAAAAUUCAUCGAUCCUUCAACAAGCAAGUCUGUUACUUUGACGACAUCAUCAAGACCAGAGGUAAGAGACACUGGGACCGUACCUGCAGGUGGUAAUGAUCUGCAAACGGUUGACGAAGAAUAAUCCAGAUUCAAAGAAAGCGAAGGUGACGCUGACGCCAUGCG